AGGUGUAUAGCUCAGUGGUAGAGUGUGUGCUUAGCAUGCAUGAGGUCCUGGGUUCAAUCCCUAGUACCUCCA
Molecule: transfer RNA, 72 nt
Filed under: Camelus bactrianus (Bactrian camel)
Lineage: Eukaryota; Metazoa; Chordata; Mammalia; Artiodactyla; Camelidae
Also listed under: 2 other names
Rfam family: tRNA
About the family: Transfer RNA (tRNA) molecules are approximately 80 nucleotides in length.
Source: Rfam by way of RNAcentral